AGAGUUUGAUCCUGGCUCAGAACGAACGCUGGCGGCAUGCCUAACACAUGCAAGUCGAACGGUCCUUCGGGACAGUGGCGCACGGGUGAGUAACGCGUGGGGAUCUGCCCAGCAGUGGGGAAUAACGCCGGGAAACUGGCGCUAAUACCGCAUACGCCCUUCGGGGGAAAGAUUUAUCGCUGUUGGAUGAACCCGCGUCCGAUUAGGUAGUUGGCGGGGUAAUGGCCCACCAAGCCUGCGAUCGGUAGCUGGUCUGAGAGGAUGAUCAGCCACACUGGGACUGAGACACGGCCCAGACUCCUACGGGAGGCAGCAGUGGGGAAUAUUGGACAAUGGGCGCAAGCCUGAUCCAGCAAUGCCGCGUGAGUGAUGAAGGCCUUAGGGUUGUAAAGCUCUUUCGCUCGCGACGA
This 410-nucleotide ribosomal RNA is filed under the name uncultured bacterium. Its description in RNAcentral is "bacterial SSU rRNA". It matches the Rfam family "Bacterial small subunit ribosomal RNA", at positions 8 to 448 of the family's 1533-position model. The record is from RNAcentral.